UGAGCGCAAUGUAGAAGUUUUUUUUUACAUAAGCGUUUCAAAUCUUAAAUUUUCAAUCUUAAAAAUUACAGCAUUUCAAGAUGUGUAAAGUUAAACUUCACUCAGAAUCACUUUUCAUUACUUACAGAUAUGAAAUAAAUAAUAUACAUUCUAUCUCUCCACAUACAACAAUGGUACAGUUGUCCGUCUUCCAAGUAUCAGCUCUUUUUUAUACGAUUAUUGUCUACAUUUCAUCUGAAAACACAUUAAUAAACACUAAGGACAAAUUAUGACGAAUUUCG
Non-coding RNA from Cinara cedri, 281 nucleotides. NCBI's taxonomy places the organism in Eukaryota, Metazoa, Arthropoda, Insecta, Hemiptera, Aphididae. The record is from the annotation of a GenBank genome assembly.